CCACAGACGGGCUCCCACAGUGCAGCGGUGGGGCGAAGGGCUCCUCAAGCGCGGCCAGAGUGGACGUCCAGGCCGAGGAGACACGGAGAGCGAGCAAGGGCUGCCAGCACGCUGUCACUUCUUAUUAAGGUGUGCGUUUGGGUGGAAAGUAUGUACUGUUUAUGCUGAACUACUGUUUAAGACAGAAUUCAUCAAGUAGCAGAAGUGAUGGAAGGGCCAAGGGGAAGAAAGAUGGACAAAACCUGAAAAUUGAAAGUGCAAUAAAAUGAAAAUUACAAAUGAAAACCAGUAUGCCUGAGAUAUACAUGACUGUUUAGUAGAGUGUCUUCAUGUGGGUUAAAGAAGAAAAGGAAAUAUCAGCUGGAAUCAGCAGAACAGAUUUAGCACUUGACCCUUGGAUACUUUUCAUUCUAUUUAUCUGUCAUAUUUUUAUUGGUUUGUAUUCCAUUGACCACUAUAUGCACCGACCCUCAGCAAAUUCAUUCAAUAGAGAGGAGAGAUUAUAUCUCCACUGUAUCAGUGGAGCUGUUUAGGAACGUUUCUCCCGCUUCUUGUAUGUAUUUUGUCCUAUUUGUACAUUGUAUUUUAUGAGCUGCUUUAGAA
Molecule: long non-coding RNA, 603 nt
Organism: Homo sapiens (human)
Lineage: Eukaryota; Metazoa; Chordata; Mammalia; Primates; Hominidae
Exons: 3
Source: RefSeq, a predicted model, not a curated record